CAGCCGCGGUAAUACGUAGGUGGCAAGCGUUGUCCGGGAUUAUUGGGCGUAAAGCGCGCGCAGGUGGUUUCUUAAGUCUGAUGUGAAAGCCCACGGCUCAACCGUGGAGGGUCAUUGGAAACUGGGGAACUUGAGUGCAGAAGAGGAAAGUGGAAUUCCAAGUGUAGCGGUGAAAUGCGUAGAUAUUUGGAGGAACACCAGUGGCGAAGGCGACUUUCUGGUCUGAAACUGACACUGAGGCGCGAAAGCGUGGGGAGCAAACAGGAUUAGAUACCCUGGUAGUCCACGCCGUAAACGAUGAGUGCUAAGUGUUAGGGGGUUUCCGCCCCUUAGUGCUGCAGCUAACGCAUUAAGCACUCCGCCUGGGGAGUACGGUCGCAAGACUGAAACUCAAAGGAAUUGACGGGGGCCCGCACAAGCGGUGGAGCAUGUGGUUUAGUUCGAAGCAACGCGAAGAACCUUACCAGGUCUUGACAUCCUCUGACAACCCUAGAGAUAGGGCUUUCCCCUUCGGGGGACAGAGUGACAGGUGGUGCAUGGUUGUCGUCAGCUCGUGUCGUGAGAUGUUGGGUUAAGUCCCGCAACGAGCGCAA
This 593-nucleotide ribosomal RNA is filed under the name uncultured Bacillus sp. RNAcentral describes it as "bacterial SSU rRNA". It matches the Rfam family "Bacterial small subunit ribosomal RNA", at positions 512 to 1101 of the family's 1533-position model. The record is from RNAcentral. Lineage: Bacteria; Bacillati; Bacillota; Bacilli; Caryophanales; Bacillaceae.